Molecule: ribosomal RNA, 898 nt
Filed under: uncultured bacterium
Lineage: Bacteria
Description: bacterial SSU rRNA
Rfam family: Bacterial small subunit ribosomal RNA
Source: RNAcentral
UUGCGGGGCUCAACCCCGUACAGCCGUUGAAACUGCCGGGCUCGAGUGGGCGAGAAGUAUGCGGAAUGCGUGGUGUAGCGGUGAAAUGCAUAGAUAUCACGCAGAACCCCGAUUGCGAAGGCAGCAUACCGGCGCCCUACUGACGCUGAGGCACGAAAGUGCGGGGAUCAAACAGGAUUAGAUACCCUGGUAGUCCGCACAGUAAACGAUGAAUGCUAGCUGUCCGGGGGGAUUGACCCCUGGGUGGCACAGCGAAAGCGUUAAGCAUUCCACCUGGGGAGUACGCCGGCAACGGUGAAACUCAAAGGAAUUGACGGGGGCCCGCACAAGCGGAGGAACAUGUGGUUUAAUUCGAUGAUACGCGAGGAACCUUACCCGGGCUCAAACGCCGAAGGAACAUUCCCCGAAAGGGGAAUGGCCAGCAAUGGUCUUCGGCGAGGUGCUGCAUGGUUGUCGUCAGCUCGUGCCGUGAGGUGUCGGCUUAAGUGCCAUAACGAGCGCAACCCCCACCGACAGUUGCUAACUGGUCAAGCAGAGGACUCUGGCGAGACUGCCGGCGCAAGCUGCGAGGAAGGCGGGGAUGACGUCAAAUCAGCACGGCCCUUACGUCCGGGGCGACACACGUGUUACAAUGGCAGGUACAGAGAGAAGCAAUGCGGCGACGCAAAGCGGAACUUGAAAGCCUGUCUCAGUUCGGAUUGGAGUCUGCAACUCGACUCCAUGAAGCUGGAUUCGCUAGUAAUCGCGCAUCAGCCAUGGCGCGGUGAAUACGUUCCCGGGCCUUGUACACACCGCCCGUCAAGCCAUGGAAGCCGGGAGUGCCUGAAGUGUGCAACCGCAAGGAGCGCCCUAAGGUAAAACUGGUGACUGGGGCUAAGUCGUAACAAGGUAACCGUAA